UACGAGAGGCGCAAACGUUAUUCGGAAUUACUGGGCUUAAAGAGUUCGUAGGCGGCGCGGAAAGUAGGGUGUGAAAGCCCUCGGCUCAACCGAGGAAUUGCGCCCUAAACUGCCGUGCUUGAGGAACCUAGAGGUGAGCAGAACAGAUGGUGGAGCGGUGAAAUGCGUAGAUAUCUGGAGGAACACCGGUGGCGAAGGCGGCAUCCUGGACCGGUAUUGACGCUGAGGCGCGAAAGCCAGGGGAGCAAACGGG
This 253-nucleotide ribosomal RNA is filed under the name uncultured bacterium. RNAcentral describes it as "partial 16S ribosomal RNA". It matches the Rfam family "Bacterial small subunit ribosomal RNA", at positions 524 to 776 of the family's 1533-position model. The record is from RNAcentral.